GGAUGGCUCAGUGGUAGAGCACUCACCUCGAAUGUGCGAGGCCCUGGGUUCAAUCCUCAGCGCCA
This 65-nucleotide transfer RNA is filed under the name Marmota monax (woodchuck). RNAcentral describes it as "tRNA.Ser". The stretch from base 4 to 60 matches the Rfam family "tRNA", at positions 8 to 63 of the family's 71-position model. Rfam says of the family: Transfer RNA (tRNA) molecules are approximately 80 nucleotides in length. Their secondary structure includes four short double-helical elements and three loops (D, anti-codon, and T loops). Further hydrogen bonds mediate the characteristic L-shaped molecular structure. tRNAs have two regions of fundamental functional importance: the anti-codon, which is responsible for specific mRNA codon recognition, and the 3' end, to which the tRNAs corresponding amino acid is attached (by aminoacyl-tRNA synthetases). tRNAs cope with the degeneracy of the genetic code in two manners: having more than one tRNA (with a specific anti-codon) for a particular amino acid; and 'wobble' base-pairing, i.e. permitting non-standard base-pairing at the 3rd anti-codon position. The record is from RNAcentral. Lineage: Eukaryota; Metazoa; Chordata; Mammalia; Rodentia; Sciuridae.